CAUUCAGUUGUCGGGGUCGGGAUUCUCGACGUUUACUGUGAAAAAAUCAGAGUGUUCAACGCAGGCUUACGCCUUGAAUACAUUAUCAUGGAAUAAUGAGAUAGGACCUUGGCGGUCUAUUUUGUUGGUUUGCACGCCGAGGUAAUGAUUAAAAGGGACGGUUGGGGUUCUUCGUAUUCAAUUGUCAGAGGUGAAAUUCUUGGAUUUAUGGAAGACGAACUGCUGCGAAAGCGUCGAACAAGGACGUUCUCAUUAAUCAAGAACGAAAGUUAGGGGAUCGAAGAUGAUUAGAUACCAUCGUAGUCUUAACCAUAAACUAUGCCGAUUCAGGAUUGGCGGUCGUUUGUUCUCGACUCCGUCAGCACUGUAUGAGAAAUUAUAAUCUUUGGGUUCCGGGGGGAGU
Molecule: ribosomal RNA, 403 nt
Filed under: Pelagomonas calceolata
Lineage: Eukaryota; Pelagophyceae; Pelagomonadales; Pelagomonadaceae
Description: SSU rRNA
Rfam family: Eukaryotic small subunit ribosomal RNA
Source: RNAcentral